RNAcentral lists this ribosomal RNA (492 nucleotides) under uncultured bacterium. RNAcentral describes it as "partial 16S ribosomal RNA". It matches the Rfam family "Bacterial small subunit ribosomal RNA", at positions 29 to 507 of the family's 1533-position model. The record is from RNAcentral.
AGUGAACGCUGGCGGUAGGCCUAACACAUGCAAGUCGAACGGCAGCACAGUAAGAGCUUGCUCUUACGGGUGGCGAGUGGCGGACGGGUGAGGAAUACAUCGGAAUCUACUUUUUCGUGGGGGAUAACGUAGGGAAACUUACGCUAAUACCGCAUACGACCUACGGGUGAAAGCAGGGGAUCUUCGGACCUUGCGCGAUUGAAUGAGCCGAUGUCGGAUUAGCUAGUUGGCGGGGUAUAGGCCCACCAAGGCGACGAUCCGUAGCUGGUCUGAGAGGAUGAUCAGCCACACUGGAACUGAGACACGGUCCAGACUCCUACGGGAGGCAGCAGUGGGGAAUAUUGGACAAAGGGCGCAAGCCUGAUCCAGCCAUACCGCGUGGGUGAAGAAGGCCUUCGGGUUGUAAAGCCCUUUUGUUGGGAAAGAAAAGCAGCAGGUUAAUACCCCGCUGUUCCGACGGUACCCAAAGAAUAAGCACCGGCUAACUUCGUG